This 386-nucleotide unclassified non-coding RNA is filed under the name uncultured fungus. Its description in RNAcentral is "partial internal transcribed spacer 1". Lineage: Eukaryota; Fungi. The record is from RNAcentral.
ACCAACCACCCUUAUCACCGUGAGUGAUCGUGAAGUCUUGAGAAGAUUAAGCAGCGGAUGAAACGACAAAAUUCUUUUCGUGACUAUACGGCUGAGUCCGCACUGUUUGUGCGUCGGGCGCUGGUCGCCUUUUUGGGUAUUUUGCUGCUGACCGGCGUACUGAUCGCCAAUUUGUAUAAUCUGCAAAUUCUCCGUUUUACCGAUUACCAGACCCGCUCGAACGAAAACCGUAUCAAGCUGGUGCCAAUUGCGCCAAGCCGCGGGAUAAUCUACGACCGUAACGGCAUUCCCCCUUGCGCUGAACCGCACUAUCUAUCAGAUUGAAAUGAUGCCGGAAAAGGUGGAUAACGUUCAGCAAACGCUGGAUGCGCUACGCAGUGUGGUCG